ACUUACAGGAUUCCCCUAGUAGCGGCGAGAGAUUCGGGAAGAGCUCAAAUUUAUAAUCUGGCACCUUCGGUGUCCGAGUUGUAAUCUCUAGAAAUGUUUUCCGCGUUGGACCGCACACAAGUCUGUUGGAAUACAGCGGCAUAGUGGUGAGACCCCCGUAUAUGGUGCGGACGCCCAGCGCUUUGUGAUACAUUUUCGAAGAGUCGAGUUGUUUGGGAAUGCAGCUCAAAUUGGGUGGUAAAUUCCAUCUAAAGCUAAAUAUUGGCGAGAGACCGAUAGCGAACAAGUACCGUGAGGGAAAGAUGAAAAGCACUUUGGAAAGAGAGUUAACAGUACGUGAAAUUGUUGGAAGGGAAACGCUUGAAGUCAGACUUGCUUGCCGAGCAAUCGGUUUGCAGGCCAGCAUCAGUUUUCCGGGAUGGAUAAUGGUAGAGAGAAGGUAGCAGUUUCGGCUGUGUUAUAGCUCUCUGCUGGAUACAUCUUGGGGGACUGAGGAACGCAGUGUGCCUUUGGCGGGGGUUUCGACCUCUUCACACUUAGGAUGCUGGUGGAAUGGCUUUAAACGACCCGUCUUGAAAACCCCGGACCA
This 589-nucleotide ribosomal RNA is filed under the name Rhodotorula mucilaginosa. RNAcentral describes it as "eukaryotic LSU rRNA". It matches the Rfam family "Eukaryotic large subunit ribosomal RNA", at positions 64 to 668 of the family's 3401-position model. The record is from RNAcentral. Lineage: Eukaryota; Fungi; Basidiomycota; Microbotryomycetes; Sporidiobolales; Sporidiobolaceae.